UAGGGAAUCUUCGGCAAUGGAUGAAUGUCUGACCGAGCAACGCCGCCCGCGUGAAGAAGGUUUUCGCUUCGUAAAACUCUGUUUUUAGAGAAGAACAAGCACGUUAGUAACUGAACGUCCCCUGACGGUAUCUAACCAGAAAGCCACGGCUAACUACGUGCCAGCAGCCGCGGUAAUACGCAGGUGGCAAGCGUUGUCCGGAUUUCUUGGGCGUAAAGCGAGCGCAGGCGGUUUCUUAAGGCUGAUGGGAAAGCCCCCGGCUCAACCGAGGAGGGUGAUUGGAAACUGGGGGACUUGGGGGGAGAGGAGGAGGGUGGAAUUCCGUGUGGAGCGGUGAAAUGCAUAGAUAUAUGGAGGAAGACCAGUGGAGAAGGCGGCUCUAGGGUAAGUAACUGACGCUGAGGCACGAAAGGGUGGGGAGCAAGGAGG
RNAcentral lists this ribosomal RNA (429 nucleotides) under Gemmatimonadota bacterium. RNAcentral's name for it is "Gemmatimonadetes bacterium partial 16S ribosomal RNA". It matches the Rfam family "Bacterial small subunit ribosomal RNA", at positions 355 to 776 of the family's 1533-position model. Lineage: Bacteria; Pseudomonadati; Gemmatimonadota. The record is from RNAcentral.